CUAACACAUGCAAGUCGAGCGAUUCUCUUCGGAGAAGAGCGGCGGACGGGUGAGUAACGCGUGGGUAACCUGCCUCAUACACAUGGAUAACAUACCGAAAGGUAUGCUAAUACAGGAUAACAUAAGAGAUUCGCAUGUUUCUCUUAUCAAAGCUCCGGCGGUAUGAGAUGGACCCGCGUCUGAUUAGCUAGUUGGUAAGGUAAUGGCUUACCAAGGCGACGAUCAGUAGCCGACCUGAGAGGGUGAUCGGCCACAUUGGAACUGAGACACGGUCCAAACUCCUACGGGAGGCAGCAGUGGGGAAUAUUGCACAAUGGGCGAAAGCCUGAUGCAGCAACGCCGCGUGAGUGAUGAAGGCCUUCGGGUCGUAAAACUCUGUCCUCAAGGAAGAUAAUGACGGUACUUGAGGAGGAAGCCCCGGCUAACUACGUGCCAGCAGCCGCGGUAAUACGUAGGGGGCUAGCGUUAUCCGGAUUUACUGGGCGUAAAGGGUGCGUAGGUGGUUUCUUAAGUCAGGAGUGAAAGGCUACGGCUUAACCGUAGUAAGCUCUUGAAACUGGGAAACUUGAGUGCAGGAGAGGAAAGUGGAAUUCCUAGUGUAGCGGUGAAAUGCGUAGAUAUUAGGAGGACACCAGUAGCGAAGGCGGCUUUCUGGACUGUAACUGACACUGAGGC
RNAcentral lists this ribosomal RNA (675 nucleotides) under uncultured Clostridium sp. RNAcentral's name for it is "bacterial SSU rRNA". It matches the Rfam family "Bacterial small subunit ribosomal RNA", at positions 48 to 752 of the family's 1533-position model. The record is from RNAcentral. Lineage: Bacteria; Bacillati; Bacillota; Clostridia; Eubacteriales; Clostridiaceae.